GAUGAACGCUAGCGGCAGGCCUAACACAUGCAAGUCGAGGGGUAAUAGGGAGCUUGCUCCGCUGACGACCGGCGCACGGGUGCGCACCGCGUAUGGAACCUACCUUCUACAGGGGAAUAGCCCAGGGAAACUUGGAUUAAUGCCCCGUGGCACUACAUUAUGGCAUCAUGUUGUAGUUAAAGCCUUCGGGCGGUAGAAGAUGGCCAUGCGUCCCAUUAGCUUGAUGGUAAGGUAACGGCUUACCAUGGCUACGAUGGGUAGGGGCCCUGAGAGGGGGAUCCCCCACACUGGUACUGAGACACGGACCAG
Molecule: ribosomal RNA, 309 nt
Filed under: uncultured Maribacter sp.
Lineage: Bacteria; Pseudomonadati; Bacteroidota; Flavobacteriia; Flavobacteriales; Flavobacteriaceae
Description: bacterial SSU rRNA
Rfam family: Bacterial small subunit ribosomal RNA
Source: RNAcentral